RNAcentral lists this long non-coding RNA (670 nucleotides) under Buteo japonicus. RNAcentral's name for it is "lncRNA (ENSBJAG00000011952.1)". The record is from RNAcentral. Lineage: Eukaryota; Metazoa; Chordata; Aves; Accipitriformes; Accipitridae.
UGCUGUUACGGGCUUUUUAAAAGUCACAUCUUUUAUUUGAAAAGGAACCUGCAAAGAACUAAAAGAAAAAAAAUUAAAUUUGUGAUCUAUUUUUGUGAGUAUACGCCAAAGAAUUUUUACCCUUCCUUCCUCACUACUCUGCUUGGAUGCCUUCAUAGCAACGGGAGACAACAUCCGCGUGAUCCCAAAGGUAUGGAGAGAAGCUUAGUCGUAUAGAGAAAAUGCUCCUUGCUUUGAAGAUGUUGUUUGAAGGGCUGAUGGAGAAAUGUCCUGAAAAUAAAGAUAUUUUCAGGUUCAGAGAACAAAAGGGGGAAGCACACAGACCUGAGAAAGAAAGAGAUUCAAAGAACCUGAGGCUGGAGCCUACCUCUCCUGCUAACUGUGAAUGAAGACUGCAGUAUACUCUGGUACAAGUCCAUCUGCUCUUGAACUUCAUAAAUACCUUUUCAAAGGUCUAAUAGUGUUCUUCCUUUGAGGUUUCUAACACCAUUUUUGAAGCCUUGAAAGCGGUAUUAUUCAUGUGUUUCAGCUGAAGAGAGCUGAAUUAUCAAGGUAACAACUGAUUUGAGAAUGGCCACUUUUCUCCGAGAUGUGCUCAUGGAGGGACUUGGGGGAAGAUCCAGUGCUUACCAGGGAUUUCACUGAGCUUAACAAGCCCUGAAAUGUAGGA